UCUUCGAUAGUAUAGUGGUGAGUAUACCCGCCUGUCACGCGGGUGACCUGGGUCAAUUCCCAGUCGGAGAG
RNAcentral lists this transfer RNA (71 nucleotides) under Conidiobolus coronatus NRRL 28638. It matches the Rfam family "tRNA". Rfam says of the family: Transfer RNA (tRNA) molecules are approximately 80 nucleotides in length. Their secondary structure includes four short double-helical elements and three loops (D, anti-codon, and T loops). The record is from Rfam by way of RNAcentral. Lineage: Eukaryota; Fungi; Entomophthoromycota; Entomophthoromycetes; Entomophthorales; Conidiobolaceae.